AGGACUGGUUGGCUCUUGGUCACCAUGUUAUAUGGCCCUCCUUGCAUUAUAACCGCUUCGAGGCUUCACAAGGACUUCCAGGAACGGUGGAC
Molecule: non-coding RNA, 92 nt
Organism: Callorhinus ursinus (northern fur seal)
Lineage: Eukaryota; Metazoa; Chordata; Mammalia; Carnivora; Otariidae
Source: RefSeq, a predicted model, not a curated record